Molecule: small RNA, 76 nt
Filed under: Xanthomonas hortorum pv. pelargonii
Lineage: Bacteria; Pseudomonadati; Pseudomonadota; Gammaproteobacteria; Lysobacterales; Lysobacteraceae
Description: sX9 sRNA
Rfam family: Xanthomonas sRNA sX9
Source: RNAcentral
AUGUACAACUCGUACAUGCCCGCUCCUCCGCCCCGUCCGCACCCACCUGACGACUAAUCGCUACGUUUUGUCAGCC